RNAcentral lists this ribosomal RNA (440 nucleotides) under uncultured bacterium. RNAcentral describes it as "partial 16S ribosomal RNA". It matches the Rfam family "Bacterial small subunit ribosomal RNA", at positions 338 to 795 of the family's 1533-position model. The record is from RNAcentral.
CCUACGGGAGGCAGCAGUAGGGAAUAUUGCUCAAUGGGGGAAACCCUGAAGCAGCAACGCCGCGUGGAGGAUGAAGGUUUUCGGAUUGUAAACUCCUUUUGUUAGAGAAGAUAAUGACGGUAUCUAACGAAUAAGCACCGGCUAACUCCGUGCCAGCAGCCGCGGUAAUACGGAGGGUGCAAGCGUUACUCGGAAUCACGGGGCGUAAAGAGCGCGUAGGCGGGAGAGCAAGUCAGAUGUGAAAUCCUAGGGCUUAACCAUAGAAUUGCAUUUGAAACUGUUAUUCUAGAGUAUGGGAGAGGUAGGUGGAAUUCUUGGUGUAGGGGUAAAAUCCGUAGAGAUCAAGAGGAAUACUCAUUGCGAAGGCGACCUGCUAGAACAUAACUGACGCUGAUGCGCGAAAGCGUGGGGAGCAAACAGGAUUAGAUACCCCUGUAGUC